This 478-nucleotide ribosomal RNA is filed under the name uncultured bacterium. Its description in RNAcentral is "partial 16S ribosomal RNA". It matches the Rfam family "Bacterial small subunit ribosomal RNA", at positions 28 to 507 of the family's 1533-position model. The record is from RNAcentral.
GAUGAACGCUGGCGGCGUGCUUAACACAUGCAAGUCGAACGAGAAGUGAAGACGGAAACCUUCGGGCGGAAGGCUUUAUUUCGAGUGGCGGACGGGUGAGUAACGCGUGGGUAACCUGCCUCAUACAGGGGGAUAACAGUUGGAAACGACUGUUAAUACCGCAUAAGACCACAGCACCGCAUGGUGCGGGGGUAAAAACUCCGGUGGUAUGAGAUGGACCCGCGUUCGAUUAGCCAGUUGGCGGGGUAACGGCCCACCAAAGCGACGAUCGAUAGCCGAUCUGAGAGGAUGACCGGCCACAUUGGGACUGAGACACGGCCCAAACUCCUACGGGAGGCAGCAGUGGGGAAUAUUGCACAAUGGGGGAAACCCUGAUGCAGCGACGCCGCGUGAGUGAAGAAGUAGUUAGGUAUGUAAAGCUCUAUCAGCAGGGAAGAAAAUGACGGUACCUGAGUAAGAAGCCCCGGCUAACUACGUG